RNAcentral lists this ribosomal RNA (253 nucleotides) under uncultured bacterium. Its description in RNAcentral is "partial 16S ribosomal RNA". It matches the Rfam family "Bacterial small subunit ribosomal RNA", at positions 524 to 776 of the family's 1533-position model. The record is from RNAcentral.
UACGUAGGGUGCGAGCGUUAAUCGGAAUUACUGGGCGUAAAGCGUGCGCAGGCGGCUUUGCAAGACAGAUGUGAAAUCCCCGGGCUCAACCUGGGAACUGCAUUUCUGACUGCAAGGCUAGAGUACGGCAGAGGGGGAUGGAAUUCCGCGUGUAGCAGUGAAAUGCGUAGAUAUGCGGAGGAACACCAAUGGCGAAGGCAAUCCCCUGGGCCUGUACUGACGCUCAUGCACGAAAGCGUGGGGAGCAAACAGG